UGGGCGGUAGCCAAGUCGGUAAGGCAACUGAUUCUGAAUCAGUUAUGCCCAGGUUCGAAUCCUGGUCGCCCAUCCA
This 76-nucleotide transfer RNA is filed under the name Acidobacteriaceae bacterium. Its description in RNAcentral is "tRNA-Gln". It matches the Rfam family "tRNA". Rfam says of the family: Transfer RNA (tRNA) molecules are approximately 80 nucleotides in length. Their secondary structure includes four short double-helical elements and three loops (D, anti-codon, and T loops). The record is from RNAcentral. Lineage: Bacteria; Pseudomonadati; Acidobacteriota; Terriglobia; Terriglobales; Acidobacteriaceae.